GAUGAACGCUGGCGGCGUGCCUAAUACAUGCAAGUAGAACGCUGAAGGAGGAGCUUGCUCUUCUGGAUGAGUUGCGAACGGGUGAGUAACGCGUAGGUAACCUGCCUGGUAGCGGGGGAUAACUAUUGGAAACGAUAGCUAAUACCGCAUGACAACAGUUAUUGCAUGAUAACUGUUUAAAAGGGGCAACUGCUCCACUACCAGAUGGACCUGCGUUGUAUUAGCUAGUUGGUGAGGUAACGGCUCACCAAGGCGACGAUACAUAGCCGACCUGAGAGGGGGAUCGGCCACACUGGGACGGAGACACGGCCCAGACGCCUACGGGAGGCAGCAGGAGGGAAUCUUCGGCAAUGGACGGAAGUCUGACCGAGCAACGCCGCGUGAGUGAAGAAGGUUUUCGGAUCGUAAAGCUCUGUUGUAAGAGAAGAACGAGUGUGAGAGUGGAAAGUUCACACUGUGACGGUAUCUUACCAGAAAGGGACGGCUAACUACGUG
This 495-nucleotide ribosomal RNA is filed under the name uncultured bacterium. RNAcentral describes it as "partial 16S ribosomal RNA". It matches the Rfam family "Bacterial small subunit ribosomal RNA", at positions 28 to 507 of the family's 1533-position model. The record is from RNAcentral.